Molecule: non-coding RNA, 452 nt
Organism: Castor canadensis (American beaver)
Lineage: Eukaryota; Metazoa; Chordata; Mammalia; Rodentia; Castoridae
Source: RefSeq, a predicted model, not a curated record
CCUGGCGUCCUGGUGAACACAAUCGAGCAAGGCAGUGAAGCAAAAAUCAUUAGGUGGCUGGACUCAGACACAUCACACUCCAGUUUGGGUUCCAAGUUGCUUCUUUGGAUUUUCACCUGCCUUGCCAAAAAUGAUUGAUUACACCAGGCCAACUGGGUGUCCGGCAGUACCCAACAAAUGACUUUGGCCCCUAACAGCAGGCCUUGGCCAGAUAGAAAUCAAUAUUUCACCAUUAAAAUCUAUCAAAGAAGAGUUAAGGCACCAUCUGUCCCUGCCGCCUCUCUAUGGUGUGUGAACAUUAAAUCCGACACUUGUACUACAUGAGUAAUCAAUAUAUAGUGGUUCACAGAUCAUUUGUGGUCCCCUUUUAGCAGUGAUGGAUGUCUGGAAUCGUUGUGAUUCAUUUUGUCAGACCAUUAAACAAGAUUCUGUCCAGUUCCUUCCUGAUUUCA